RNAcentral lists this ribosomal RNA (758 nucleotides) under uncultured bacterium. RNAcentral's name for it is "bacterial SSU rRNA". It matches the Rfam family "Bacterial small subunit ribosomal RNA", at positions 28 to 776 of the family's 1533-position model. The record is from RNAcentral.
GAUGAACGCUAGCUACAGGCUUAACACAUGCAAGUCGAGGGGCAUCAGGAAGAAAGCUUGCUUUCUUUGCUGGCGACCGGCGCACGGGUGAGUAACACGUAUCCAACCUGCCCUUUACUCGGGGAUAGCCUUUCGAAAGAAAGAUUAAUACCCGAUAGCAUAAUGAUUCCGCAUGGUUUCAUUAUUAAAGGAUUCCGGUAAAGGAUGGGGAUGCGUUCCAUUAGGUUGUUGGUGAGGUAACGGCCCACCAAGCCUUCGAUGGAUAGGGGUUCUGAGAGGAAGGUCCCCCACAUUGGAACUGAGACACGGUCCAAACUCCUACGGGAGGCAGCAGUGAGGAAUAUUGGUCAAUGGGCGCUAGCCUGAACCAGCCAAGUAGCGUGAAGGAUGAAGGCUCUAUGGGUCGUAAACUUCUUUUAUAUAAGAAUAAAGUGCAGUAUGUAUACUGUUUUGUAUGUAUUAUAUGAAUAAGGAUCGGCUAACUCCGUGCCAGCAGCCGCGGUAAUACGGAGGAUCCGAGCGUUAUCCGGAUUUAUUGGGUUUAAAGGGAGCGUAGGUGGACUGGUAAGUCAGUUGUGAAAGUUUGCGGCUCAACCGUAAAAUUGCAGUUGAUACUGUCAGUCUUGAGUACAGUAGAGGUGGGCGGAAUUCGUGGUGUAGCGGUGAAAUGCUUAGAUAUCACGAAGAACUCCGAUUGCGAAGGCAGCUCACUGGACUGCAACUGACACUGAUGCUCGAAAGUGUGGGUAUCAAACAGG